CCGACGCCCCAGGGUCCUUGGCCCACGCUCCCCUCUCCCGACCCCCAGCAUCCCGGGCCCCUGCCCGCCCCCCGCGACCCCGCCGGCCUCAGGUCCCGCCCUCCCCGCUCGGGGUCCCUCCCGACCCCCCAGCAUCCCGGGCCCCUGCCCGCCCCCCGCGACCCCGCCGGCCUCAGGUCCCGCCCUCCCCGCUCGGGGUCCCUCCCGACGCCCCAGGGUCCUUGGCCCACGCUCCCCUCUCCCGACCCCCAGCAUCCCGGGCCCCUGCCCGCCCCCCGCGACCCCGCCGGCCUCAGGUCCCGGCCUCCCCGCUCGGGGUCCCUCCCGACGCCCCAGGGUCCUUGGCCCACGCUCCCCUCUCCCGACCCCCCAGCAUCCCGGGCCCCUGCCCGCCCCCCGCGACGCCGCCGGCCUCAGGUCCCGCCCUCCCCGCUCGGGGUCCCUCCCGACCCCCCAGCAUCCCGGGCCCCUGCCCGCCCCCCGCGACCCCGCCGGCCUCAGGUCCCGCCCUCCCCGCUCGGGUCCCUCCCGACGCCCCAGGGUCCUUGGCCCACGCUCCCCUCUCCCGACCCCCCAGCAUCCCGGGCCCCUGCCCGCCCCCGCGACCCCGCCGGCCUCAGGUCCCGGCCUCCCCGCUCGGGGUCCCUCCCGACGCCCCAGGGUCCUUGGCCCACGCUCCCCUCUCCCGACCCCCCAGCAUCCCGGGCCCCUGCCCGCCCCGCCGCGACCCCGCCGGCCUCAGGUCCCGCCCUCCCCGCUCGGGUCCCUCCCGACCCCCCAGCAUCCCGGGCCCCUGCCCGCCCCCCGCGACCCCGCCGGCCUCAGGUCCCGCCCUCCCCGCUCCGGGUCCCUCCCGGGGCCGCCCUCAGCCCCCAUCGCGCAGUGGGGCGCUGCUUACCGCAGGCCGAGUGCGGGUCAGAGCCCUGCCCCAGGUGUGACAGGGCCUUGGAUCUAUAGACAAGCUUCUUGUUCACCAGGAGCACCCCUGCAAUGUGCAUUUUCGUGUCAAAGCCACAUCGUUGCCUUUGUAAUGAAUCAGCACUUACACCUGUACUAGGCAAUCAUGCAGUUGGCACCCCAAAAGAAAG
RNAcentral lists this long non-coding RNA (1088 nucleotides) under Canis lupus familiaris (dog). Its description in RNAcentral is "lncRNA (ENSCAFG00040008079.1)". The record is from RNAcentral. Lineage: Eukaryota; Metazoa; Chordata; Mammalia; Carnivora; Canidae.